GUACAUUGCAAUCUGUGGAUCAGCUACGAGACUGAGAGAAAGGAAUUAAAGGAUGGAAGAAUUACAGGAUCAGGCACUGCUGUCUGUCUGAUCCACGGAUGUAACCACAGCACACGCGUGGCUCACGAUGGAUAUCUGAGAACCAGCGAACUUUCUUUACCUCCUAGUAUCAUUUCAUGA
Molecule: non-coding RNA, 180 nt
Filed under: Pan troglodytes (chimpanzee)
Lineage: Eukaryota; Metazoa; Chordata; Mammalia; Primates; Hominidae
Source: RNAcentral